UACGUAGGUCCCGAGCGUUGUCCGGAUUUAUUGGGCGUAAAGCGAGCGCAGGUGGUUUAUUAAGUCUGGUGUAAAAGGCAGUGGCUCAACCAUUGUAUGCAUUGGAAACUGGUAGACUUGAGUGCAGGAGAGGAGAGUGGACUUCCAUGUGUAGCGGUGAAAUGCGUAGAUAUAUGGAGGAACACCGGUGGCGAAAGCGGCUCUCUGGCCUGUAACUGACGCUGAGGCUCGAAAGCGUGGGGAGCAAACAGG
RNAcentral lists this ribosomal RNA (252 nucleotides) under uncultured bacterium. RNAcentral describes it as "partial 16S ribosomal RNA". It matches the Rfam family "Bacterial small subunit ribosomal RNA", at positions 524 to 776 of the family's 1533-position model. The record is from RNAcentral.